This 484-nucleotide ribosomal RNA is filed under the name uncultured bacterium. RNAcentral's name for it is "partial 16S ribosomal RNA". It matches the Rfam family "Bacterial small subunit ribosomal RNA", at positions 29 to 507 of the family's 1533-position model. The record is from RNAcentral.
AGUGAACGCUGGCGGCAGGCCUAACACAUGCAAGUCGAGCGGCAGCGGGUCCUUCGGGAUGCCGGCGAGCGGCGGACGGGUGAGGAAUGCGUCGGAAUCUGCCUUUUUGUGGGGGAUAACGUAGGGAAACUUACGCUAAUACCGCAUACGACCUACGGGUGAAAGUGGGGGACCGCAAGGCCUCACGCAGAAAGAUGAGCCGACGUCGGAUUAGCUAGUUGGCGGGGUAAAGGCCCACCAAGGCGACGAUCCGUAGCUGGUCUGAGUGGCUGAUCAGCCACACUGGAACUGAGACACGGUCCAGACUCCUACGGGAGGCAGCAGUGGGGAAUAUUGGACAAUGGGCGCAAGCCUGAUCCAGCCAUGCCGCGUGUGUGAAGAAGGCCUUCGGGUUGUAAAGCACUUUUGUCCGGAAAGAAAUCCUGUCGGCUAAUACCCGGCGGGGAUGACGGUACCGGAAGAAUAAGCACCGGCUAACUUCGUG